This 300-nucleotide ribosomal RNA is filed under the name Escherichia coli O25b:H4-ST131. Its description in RNAcentral is "partial 23S ribosomal RNA". It matches the Rfam family "Bacterial large subunit ribosomal RNA", at positions 1 to 292 of the family's 2925-position model. The record is from RNAcentral. Lineage: Bacteria; Pseudomonadati; Pseudomonadota; Gammaproteobacteria; Enterobacterales; Enterobacteriaceae.
GGGUUGUGAGGUUAAGCGACUAAGCGUACACGGUGGAUGCCCUGGCAGUCAGAGGCGAUGAAGGACGUGCUAAUCUGCGAUAAGCGUCGGUGAGGUGAUAUGAACCGUUAUAACCGGCGAUUUCCGAAUGGGGAAACCCAGUGUGUUUCGACACACUAUCAUUAACUGAAUCCAUAGGUUAAUGAGGCGAACCGGGGGAACUGAAACAUCUAAGUACCCCGAGGAAAAGAAAUCAACCGAGAUUCCCCCAGUAGCGGCGAGCGAACGGGGAGGAGCCCAGAGCCUGAAUCAGUGUGUGUG